AUUCCGUUAACAGAGAGCUUGUGUUAUAAAAUGCAAGCAAGGAGUGUGAAAGACACAGACAGUUCCCAGGCGGGGAGAUUAAAGAAAGAAAGAAAGAAAGUCGAGUAGAGAAAGUGCAUUCAGUGUGUUUAAGAGCUCGACUUAGAUGGGAAUAUAAGUCAGGCAGAGCGCCGAUGCUCAUGCCACAUAGCUGCAGUGUCGAGGUGAUGGCCUGCCUGAGUGCCGGGCCGGGGGCAAACAGAUGGUCGACAACAGCCCAGGAGAGAUGUCUUUGACCGGGCGGCAGCGCCAGGAGCUGCCAACAAAAAGCUCUCCAAUCCAAGGCCCGGGGAGGGAACAAUGGGCCAAAUGCAGGUUCUUCCACCAGGCCGGGACUGUGACAGGAGGCAGAAAACCGUUAUCUGUCUGAUGUGGAAGCCGUGGCAUUCAGGGCACCACAUUAAUCACUGCUGGAGAAAAGGCUCUCUGCUUAACAUAAACACCAUCCUCCAGAAACAGAGAGACUGAAUGAACCAACACUUGCCUUUACUCUGUCACUCAGCCAUCUCGCUCCUUUAAUUCUCAUUUUGACUCAGAGUUUUAGACCAUUAGUUCUAGAUCAAAAAGCAUGUAAAUUGACCACAGUUUCUUUUCCAAGUAUCGUUAGGAUGGGUUUUUACAGACAGAUGGCAUUAUUUUAAGACACGAAUUUGAGCUUUUUCAUUACAAAUGACUAAAGGUAUUUACUGGUAUUCCUCAGAAUUGUAUCAUUGUCAAGGUGGAUUAACAUUUGGACCGUCAUGCAACAUUAAAUCUCUCUACAGACUUAUUAAAUUCGCACCUCUUCAAUGCAAAGUGACCUAUAAUGCCUUUUUUGUGUUUGCAAGAUAUGUACAGUAUAUAUGAUUGUUUUUGACUAUUAUUACAGUUUAAACAAAGGUCACUCAAUUUCUUGCUGCA
Molecule: long non-coding RNA, 939 nt
Organism: Thunnus maccoyii (southern bluefin tuna)
Lineage: Eukaryota; Metazoa; Chordata; Actinopteri; Scombriformes; Scombridae
Exons: 3
Source: RefSeq, a predicted model, not a curated record